GCGGAUAGAAGAGCAGAGUCUCGACAGAACCUGACUAGUACCCAAACAUCACUCAACAAACGGCUUAGAGACUAUCAACGCAAGAACGACGAGACUAGGGACGGAACAAGCAAAACCAAGGCAUAAUUCUUAGAGCAGCACCGUAGAUCCUAUACAUCCAGAGCCAACAGUUUCGCAAUAGCCACAAAUCCCAUAGACAAAGCCGCUCCAACCAAAUCCGCAAAUCACAAAAUCAAACUCGAAGCAAAUCCAAAGAAUCCCCAAACGCAAGCCGGAAAUACUCACUCAAACCAAAACAAACUAGCCUCAACUACUCAAAGGAGGAAGAGCAAGAAAAAAGCUUACCCGACCUGAAACAAACCUCACCGUGAAGACCUACAACGCUGAUAAGCUAACCUCACCACCGAUCCACCAGAAGAAGCCAAGGCGAUGCAAGACAACAAAAAGACAAAGAACGACGGAGCAAUACAGCCCCUCUCACAGUGACGGCGAGGAGCGCCACUCACCGGAGAGGGAGAUCGGAAUCAAAUUUUCUGGGUUCUCACUUCUCAGAAGUGUCG
RNAcentral lists this long non-coding RNA (560 nucleotides) under Arabidopsis lyrata. Its description in RNAcentral is "long non-coding RNA (ALYR_LNC003018)". The record is from RNAcentral. Lineage: Eukaryota; Viridiplantae; Streptophyta; Magnoliopsida; Brassicales; Brassicaceae.